Non-coding RNA from Adlercreutzia equolifaciens DSM 19450, 244 nucleotides. The record is from Rfam. NCBI's taxonomy places the organism in Bacteria, Bacillati, Actinomycetota, Coriobacteriia, Eggerthellales, Eggerthellaceae.
UUCUUUCGGGUCUGUAGUUGCGGAAAGGCGCGACGUCUUUCCAAGUCCAUGGCAGAUGCGGUCGAAAGGAUCCACGUAAGCGCGUGGGCAUUGCCCGCCGUGAGCAUGGCGUAUCCUAGAGGUAAGUCGCACCGCCCGCUGACAUUUUCGCGGCACGGACGCCGCGACGGGCGAGAGGGCUACUAGCGCAAGCGAACGCCCCGGUGCGCGAGUGUGGGGUCAAAGACUAGGUCAGUCGAAAGAG